UGCAAUCGAGAGUUCAUGAGAUGUGACCAUCUCAGGCAGCACAAAAGAACUCAUCUGCCCAAAUGAGCUGUGAUGACAAGGGACAGAGGUGUCAAUCCUGGUCUUGCUUAGGAUGGAAAUGAUUGUUGGCACUCCUAUCAGGAAGCUGGAUAAAGCAGCAGUCCUCAAACUUGACCAUCUUAUUGAAUCACCUGAAAGAGUUUUAACAAAGAAACACCAAGCAAACUGCUGGCCAGCCUUCCCCACAGCUUACGAUUUAAGAGACAGAAACUGUGCCCUGGGCAUCAGGAGUUUUUAAAAAGCUCCAAAAUCAUCCCCAGAUGAUUAUCCUGUGCAGCAAAAGUUGAGGAGCACUGACUAGAGAGUGAGAUAAUAGAAAACACAUUUGCGAGUUUGAGAAAGAAGGCUGAUUCAAAUCGCCUGACAGGAAUACUUCUGAAUUAGCUACAGAUUUUGAGUAUACGUUCUACGUGUUCCCAAAACACCAUAGAAAAUGGAGACUUAGAUGUGCUACUAACUACACUAACAUCUUAUGAACCAAAAUUAUAACCACACCAUUAUCUCAUUAAAACCCUG
Molecule: long non-coding RNA, 576 nt
Filed under: Mus spicilegus (steppe mouse)
Lineage: Eukaryota; Metazoa; Chordata; Mammalia; Rodentia; Muridae
Description: lncRNA (ENSMSIG00000007985.1)
Source: RNAcentral